RNAcentral lists this long non-coding RNA (201 nucleotides) under Mytilus galloprovincialis (Mediterranean mussel). Lineage: Eukaryota; Metazoa; Mollusca; Bivalvia; Mytilida; Mytilidae. The record is from RNAcentral.
CCUCGGCGAUCUUCAACUGUAGUUGUUAUGGCUUUCAAACUUUUAACAACUGAGCAUAGUUUUGUGUGGACGUAGCGCGCGUCUGGCGUAUACAAAUGUUUUUUUAACCUGCUACCUUUUAACGGCUAUUAUUCGUUUGUUUCUCUGUCCUAUAUUUUCUCCCAUUUAUCUGUUUAUUUAUUGUAACCCUGUCGUGUAAUG